RNAcentral lists this unclassified non-coding RNA (203 nucleotides) under uncultured fungus. RNAcentral's name for it is "partial contains 18S rRNA, ITS1, 5.8S rRNA, ITS2 and 28S rRNA". Lineage: Eukaryota; Fungi. The record is from RNAcentral.
AAGGAUCAUUACCAAUUAAUCCAAAUCUCAACCCAUGUGCACUAUGGUUGUUUGUCCUUUGGGGUGGUGGAUGUUUGUUAUUAUAGCAAACGCAAGCUACCCCGCCAUUGUUAACUAAAACCUUUUUUGUUUGACCAUGGCAUUUUGUUUUUGCAAAUAAUAAUUAUGCAUGACAACUUUUAACGGUGGAUCUCUUGGCUCGU